GGUUUUUUGUUUAUAUAAAAGAUCUGGCCUGCCCAAUGAUUUUUUUAAUGGCUGCAGUAUUUUGACUGUACAAAGGUAGCAUAAUCAUUUGUCUUUUAAUUGAAGGCUGGUAUGAAUGGUUGGAUGAGAAAUAUACUUUCUUUAUUUUAUAGGGAAAAAUUAAUUUUUAAGUUAAAAAGCUUAAAUUUUAUUAUAGGACGAGAAGACCCUAUAGAACUUUAUUAUUAUUUUUUAUAUUUGUUUUGGGAUUUUAUAAGAAUAUAUUCUUAUAAUAAUUUUGUUGGGGUGAUUGAAAAAAUUAUAUAACUUUUUCUAGUUUAUUUCAUUUAUUUAUGUUUUUGAUCCUAUAUUAUGGAUAAUAAGAUCAAGUUACCUUAGGGAUAACAGCGUUAUUUUUUUGGAGAGUUCAUAUCGAUGAAAAAGUUUGCGACCUCGAUGUUGGAUUAAAAUAAGUGGCGGAUGUAGAAUGUUGUUUACUAGGUCUGUUCGACCUUUAAAUUUUUACA
This 506-nucleotide ribosomal RNA is filed under the name Cyphopelta modesta. Its description in RNAcentral is "partial 16S ribosomal RNA". It matches the Rfam family "Bacterial large subunit ribosomal RNA", at positions 1831 to 2600 of the family's 2925-position model. The record is from RNAcentral. Lineage: Eukaryota; Metazoa; Arthropoda; Insecta; Hemiptera; Miridae.